UCUACGGGAGGCAGCAGUGGGGGAUAUUGCACAAUGGGGGAAACCCUGAUGCAGCGACGCCGCGUGUGGGAAGACGGUCCUCUGGAUUGUAAACCACUGUCCCCAGGGACGAAGAUGACGGUACCUGGGGAGGAAGCUCCGGCUAACUACGUGCCAGCAGCCGCGGUAAUACGUAGGGUGCGAGCGUUGUCCGGAAUUACUGGGGGGAAAGGGAGCGUAGGCGGGACUGACAGUUGGGUGUCAAAUCUACCGGCUAAAACGGGAGCCGCACGCAAAACUGCAUUUCUUGAGUGAAGUAGGGGCAGGCGGAAUUCCUAGUGUAGCGGUGAAAUGCGUAGAUAUUAGGAGGAACACCAGUGGCGAAGGCGGCCUGCUGGGCUUUUACUGACGCUGAGGCUCGAAAGUGUGGGGAGCAAACAGGAUUAGAUACCCCUGUAGUC
Molecule: ribosomal RNA, 440 nt
Filed under: uncultured bacterium
Lineage: Bacteria
Description: partial 16S ribosomal RNA
Rfam family: Bacterial small subunit ribosomal RNA
Source: RNAcentral